Molecule: long non-coding RNA, 1368 nt
Filed under: Macaca fascicularis (crab-eating macaque)
Lineage: Eukaryota; Metazoa; Chordata; Mammalia; Primates; Cercopithecidae
Description: lncRNA (ENSMFAG00000064765.1)
Source: RNAcentral
UUUUUUUUUUUUUUUUUCGGUGUUUAACAGACAAGUGUAAUUGGAAAUGUUUGGAGCAUGAACACAGGCACACACACAUACACACUCUAAUUUGGAAUUAUGCAAAACGAUAUCAUUAUUCACUACAACCUGAAGCAAAGCUACUGCAAUGGAAUAACAAGUACCAUAUCUAUACAAGUGCGAGGCCCUCAAGUCGGUUCUCAUUUGGACAAGGGUGACCCACGUGGCCUAACCCUUUAAGGUCUGUUUAGAGGAAAUGGCCUGGUGUGUUUUACAUUUGUGAAGCUAUUUAGCCUCCUGGUUUGACAAGAUUUUUGAGAGGGGUGAAAAUUAAUUAUAAUUGCAGUAUUGCUACAAUAAUUUAGUUGGCUAAUUGCAUUUCAGUGCAGAAGCAGUCAAGGAAGAUUUUCCUCCCCAGGUUAUUCUCUGAUGUGGCAGCAUUUAUUUUAAGAGUAAUGAGAUUUUUAAAAAGUCAAACCUCAAAUAUCAUGGCUUCAGCAAUCUGUCCUGCUUAAAGUUUAAUGCGAAAUGAGAUAGCACCUCCGUGAGAGCAGUUCCACGUGAACAUGGAUCCAGUUUUCUCCGAGACUUCAAAUGAGAACCUAUCUCUCCCCUGAAACCUACUCGAGGGAUCUCUAUGACAUUGUUUGGGGCUGAUUUUUAUUUGAGAGCACCAAUGUUUGUGACUCUGUAGUGAGGGAGGCACUGACGAGGGUGGGUAGGAAGUUUUGAAAACUUAAUACUGGAAGUCACUACAUGAGGUAUCUGUUCGUGGAAGAGGUACCACAAGUAUCAGAAGAUUGAGAAAAAAAAAGAUGAGUGAAAAACCUGGGUUGUUGUGGGAUUUUUCUGGAUCUCAUUGUUUUCGCACUGGCAGUUCUGAAUACAUAACCUGUCCCUGGCUGUUUUGAGGGAAAUGUAUCUAACUCUAGACCAGCAGUGAGCUUAAUAAACUCUUGAGAGACAGGCCCUAUCACCUUAAAAUCUUGAAGACUCUGCCCCAACGCCUGAUUCAAGGUACUUUUCUCAGGUGCUGAACCUGUCAGAGGCGUUUGAACCAGAGCAACUCCAUCUUGAAUUGGAGCUGGGUAAAAUUGAGGCUGAGACCUCCUGGGCUGCAUUCCCAGAGGCGAAGGCAUUCUGAGUCACAGGAUGAGAUAGGAGGUCAGCACAAGACACAGGUCAUAAAGACCUUCUGAUAAAACAGGCUGCAGUAAAGAAGUUGGCUAAAACCCACCAAAACCAAGAUGGCAACGAGAGUGACCUCUGGUUGUCCUCACUGCUAUACUCCCACCAGUGCCGUGACAGUUUACAAAUGCCAUGGCAAUGUCAGGAAGUUACCCUAUAUGAUCUAAAAGGAGGAGGCAU